UGAGGAAUAUUGGUCAAUGGGCGAGAGCCUGAACCAGCCAAAUCGCGUGAAGGAAGACUGCCUUAUGGGUUGUAAACUUCUUUUAUACAGGAAUAAAAAAGGGGACGUGUCCCUUAUUGCAUGUACUGUAUGAAUAAGCAUCGGCUAACUCCGUGCCAGCAGCCGCGGUAAUACGGAGGAUGCGAGCGUUAUCCGGAUUUAUUGGGUUUAAAGGGUGCGCAGGCGGGCUUUUAAGUCAGCGGUGAAAUCUCGGGGCUUAACUCCGAAACUGCCGUUGAAACUGGGAGUCUUGAGUAUGGAUGAAGUAGGCGGAAUUCGUUGUGUAGCGGUGACAUGCUUAGAUAUAACGAGGAACUCCGAUUGCGUAGGCAGCUUACUAAGCCAUAACUGACGCUCAAGCACGAAAGCGUGGGGAUCAAACAGGAUUAGAUACCCUGGUAGUCCACGCCGUAAACGAUGAUUACUAGUUGUAUGCGAUAUACCGUAUGUGACUAAGCGAAAAGCGAUAAGUAAUCCACCUGGGGAAGUACGCCGGCAACGGUGAAACUCAAAUGAAUUGACGGGGUCAUAGCUGUUUCCUG
RNAcentral lists this ribosomal RNA (581 nucleotides) under uncultured bacterium. Its description in RNAcentral is "partial 16S ribosomal RNA". It matches the Rfam family "Bacterial small subunit ribosomal RNA", at positions 355 to 1376 of the family's 1533-position model. The record is from RNAcentral.